RNAcentral lists this long non-coding RNA (8196 nucleotides) under Triticum aestivum (bread wheat). RNAcentral's name for it is "long non-coding RNA (TAES_LNC027024)". The record is from RNAcentral. Lineage: Eukaryota; Viridiplantae; Streptophyta; Magnoliopsida; Poales; Poaceae.
CUAAACCCUAGCAUCAAAGGAAUUCACUAGGUUCAACUAAAAUAUUUUCAGUGAAUUCCAAAUGGCUUUAAAAACUGUUCAUCAUUUCUGGAAAAAUGCUAGAACCAUAACCAGAGGUGUUGCACAUUUUUCCAUGACAUAUUUGGUCACUGAAUUAAAUCAUAUGUACUUUGCAUUUGGGCAUUUAAAUGCUAGUAAAUAUUUUAAAUGUCCAAAUAGUCCUAAACUGAAAUGUUCCAUGUUGGAUAUAUUCUAUACAGUGGGCAUGUGCAGUUUGGUGAUUUUUGAAAGUGCUUAGCUAUUUUUAAUAAAGCCCUAAAGUUGCAGAAGAAUUAGAAAACAGAAAUAAAAGAGAGAAGCAGAAACUGACCUGGCAGCCCACCAGCCAGCCCACCUUGCCGGCCCAGCCCAGCCACCGUCCAGCGAGCUGCUUGGCUCGCCAGGCAGGCAGCCAAGGUGCUCGACGUCGGCACCGCAGCGCGCCAUGCAGCUGCUUGCCGCCCUACCUCCUCCUCUCGCCGUUCUGCCGCCCUGGAUCGACCGACCGCUUCCCCCUCGAGCUCACAGACACACCCAUUCGCCCCCAGCUCCACCCCCUCGUGCUCCCCAGCCAUGGCCGACGCCAUCGCCGCUGCACUGCCGCCAUAGUCGUGCCCCCCGUCAUUUCCAAGCCGCGCCACCGUGUCCGGAAGCUCCGCCGCCCUCUACUCCUUCGAGCUAGCCGAGCCCCGAGCGCUCGCGUGCUCCGAAGCCGCCGCACCGACCUCAACCGAACCUCCAUCGUCGGAGAUCCCCUUCGCCGUCGCCGCCGUACCAGCUCGUCCCCGACCGCGCCGUCUGUUCCCUCAAGACCGCUGUGAGCUUAGCUAACUCCUCCCCCUUCUUUCUCUCGCUCUCGUGCACCACCGCGACCACACGAAGAUCACCCGCACGCACCGCCGCGCAUCUCUUCGCCGACGUGCUCCCGGCCAUCCUCCGGCCACCUCUCGGUGUCGAUCGCACUCACCACUACGCGUAGGGUCUAACCAUGCACUCCCCGCACCUCACCGCACACCCUAGCUUCGAGUUCGCAUCCACCCGAACUCCGGCGGCCGCCUAGGUCGUCGCCGGCGCCAACUCCGGCAACCCCGACCUCAACUAACUCCACCAAGAGCUGCGGUUUGUCCCCAGCUCCACCUAGAUGCCUUCCGCGACCCAUUUGGUGGCCGGAACGGCCAAAAUCACUUCCGCCGCCGCGUCGGGCUCGCCGGCGGCUAAACGCCGACGCAGCUGACUUUGACUUUGACCGCGGGUGGGCCCUGGUUGACUCUGUUGAGACAAUGACAGGUGGGGCCCAGCCCUGUUGACUAAACUGGCUUAGUUUUAAUUAAUUUUUAGCUAACUAAUUACACUGACACCCUGGACCCACAGUCAGGUUUGACCUGGACGACCCCGCUGACCUCCUGACGUCAUGCUGACGUAGUAAAUCCUUUUCUGGAUAAUUUUAUUCAGGAAAUUCCAGAAAUUGUUGCAAACUUCUAAAAUUCAUAUAAAAUCAACCGUAGCUCCAAAUCAAACAAAUUAUAUAUGAAAAAUGAUCAGAAAAAUCCAAUCUAUCCAUCUGUACCAUUUCCAUGCAUGUUAGAACAACUUUUGUUCACUGUUUAGGUCAAAUCAUAUAUAUGACAUUUAAAUAUCCACAUAUGGAGUUUGAAAUUGAAUCUUGGAUUCAAACCAACUUCAUUUAAUAUGGUUGCUAGUUGCAUUAGCUCAAUCAACAAGCAUAUUGCCAUGACAUUAUCAUGCAUCAUACUUGUUGCAUUGCAUUGAUUGUGUCCCUCUUUGUUUGCCGGUAAUUGUCCCCUCUCGAUAGACGUGGUUUCGACGAUGAGAUCGAUGACACCGAUGAAGAGUUAUAAUAUCUUCAGAAGUGCCAGGCAAGCAAAACCCCCUUGUUCAUUCCGAUACAAUCCGACUCUCUCGCUCCUGCUCUAUUUUACUGCAUUAGGACAACAACGAUUCAUCUGUUACUUGCUGCGGUAGCUAAACCCCUUUAUCCUUUGCAUGACCUGUCAUUCCACAGUAAAUAGAUGAAACCCACUAGCAUGAGUAGGAGUUGUUUGAGCCCUGUUGUGCCUACUCAUUCAUGCUUGUUUGUCAUGUCUGCUACUGCUUAGAGUUGAGUCGGGUCUGAUUCAUCGAGGAUGAAUCAGAGGUGUGUGAACAUGUCCUACUGUGUGUGAGCUAAGUGUGUGAACACGAUUUGGUAAAGGUAGCGGUGGGAGGCCAUGUAGGAGUACAUGGUGGGUUGUCUCAUUGAAGCCGUCCUUAGGAACUGAGUUCUGUGUUUGUGAUCCAUGAUUCAGCUACUACCAUGCAUUGGGCCCUGAAAUAUGACCCCGCUCGACUUCUUAUUCACCCUUGUCCUCUGUCCAGGAGUUGCAAGUAGUUUCUGGUGUUUGUAGUAUGCUGGAGGCCGUGCGCAGCGCUGACCGUAGGGGUGGGCUGUGAUGCGGUAGGCACGUGGCACGGUGUACCGGGCGCCCGUUUGGUGUCUCGGGAACCCUGCUCACAUCGUUUGGGGCUGUGAGCGAAACUUCGGCCGGAUCUCCUCAUGGAUGGAACCUGAAUAGGCGAUAAACCUGGACUAGGGACUUGAGUGUUUAGGUAGGUCGUGGUCUACACCCACGUCGGCUUUUGCUUGAAGUCUGCCGAGCACAUGUCGUGUGCAGACGCUAAGUGGUGGAAACAUGUAUGAAGAAGUACACCCCUGCAGGGUUAACAUCAUCUAUUCGAAUAGCCGUGUCCGCAGUAAAGGACUUCUGGGUUGCCUAUAACAGUUCAUAGACAAGUGAAAGUGGAUACUCUAAAAUACCCAAGAUAAGUGUGAGGGCUAUGGAUGGCGUUCUCGUAGGGAGACGGAGCGGAUCCAUAGUGGUGUAUUGAUAUGGUGAAUAUGUGGACUCGUGUGCGCCACCUCAAGAGUUACUUGCAGUCGUAGUUUAGGAUAGCCACCGAGUCAAAGCUGGCUUGCUGCAGUUAAACCCCACCAUCCCCUUGUUGAUAAUGAUGCAUAUGUAGCUAGUUCUGAUGUAAGUCUUGCUGGGUACAUUUGUACUCACAUUUGCCUAUUUUAUGUUUUUGCAGAGAGACUUCAGUCUCGCUAGUAGUUCCACGUGGACUUCGACGUUUAGCUUGUUACCUCAGCUACGAUCUUGUGCCCUCGGCAGGAUCUGGUAGAUAGUCAGGCUUCUAAGCCUUUUUCAUUUGUAGAUGUCUGUACUCAGACAUGUUAAGCUUCCGCUUGUGCUUUGAUUUGUAUGCUCUGAAUGUUGGAUCAUGAGACCCCUGUUUGUAAUAUCUCGCUCCUUGGAGCCUAUUGAAUAAAUACUUGAGUCGUAGAGUCAUGUUGUGAUGCCAUGUUGUAUUUGCACAUAUUGAGCAUAUUGUGUGUAUGUUAUUGAAAUGCUUGGUAUGUGUGGGAUCUGACUAUCUAGUUGUUUAUCCUUAGUUGCCUCUCUUACCGGGAAAUGUCUCCUAGUGCAUCCACUGAGCCAUGGUAGCUUGCUACUGCUCUGGAUCACUUAGGCUGGCCGGCAUGUGUCCUUCUUCGUUCCUGUGUCUGUCCCCUCGGGGAAAUGUCACGCGAUGAAUACCGGAGUCCUGUUAGCCCGCUACAGCCCGGUUCACCGGAGUCCUGCUAGCCUAGUGCUACAGCCUGGAUUCACUCGCUGAUGACCGACACGUUCGAUGCUGGGUCAUGGAUGCCUGUCCCUGUAAGUUUGUGCCACUUUGGGUUUAUGACUAGUCAUGUCAGCCCAGGCUCCUUAUCAUAUGGAUACUAGCGACACUAUCAUAUAUGUGUGCCAAAAGGCGCAAACGGUCCCGGGCAAAGGUAAGGUGACACCCGUGGGAAUACCGUGCGUGAGGCCGCAAAGUGAUAUGAGGUGUUACAUGCUAGAUCGAUGUGGCAUUGAGUCGGGGUCCUGACAGCUUUGGUAUCAGAGCCUGACUGCCUGUAGGAUUACCAAGCCAAACUGGUCGAAGUUGUGUCUAGAAAUGCUUUAGUUAUGUAAGGGAAUUGAUUGUGGAAUGGAACGUAAGGCUCUUUUUACUCCUUAUACCUCAUGGCCUUCUGAUCUGAGUCAUCCUCUUCUUUUCUACGGGGUUUAAGAACUAGGAUUCUCAUCUAUCUACUAGGAUGACGAGUUACUGUGUUAGAGACUUAUAGGAUUGAUAGUUUCAAGCCUCAGUUCAGCUUUUAUUACUUCUGUAUGUUCAUAACUGUUGAUCUCGAAACCUUGAUAUUGUGCUUCGGAGUGGCUAUGCCACCAUUUUUGUUGUAUUUCUCCAAACUUUUGAGCAUUUACAGCCGUUAUGUUGUCCGAGUCAUCCCAGGUUUCUAAAUAGUCUGAAGCAUUUGCAAAAUCCCUUCCUCCCAUUCCGAUGUCCCUUUGGGCCAGAUUAACCACACUAAUCGGUGAGUUGAGGUAUUCUAUUGCCUCGACAUAUAUGUUGGAAUUAUUAUUAUGACCCUAGGUGUCUUAGGGGAUCAUCUAGUAAUCUAGCCAUGAUUUGUAUCCCAGUGUGAUGAUUCUGGCCUUUAUUUCCGAAAGCAUCCCAUGAUGCAAUUUAGUUAGAGUUAGUAGGUAUUCUAAUCCUGGGUUUCUGAGCCCAAAAUUCACCCUACUUACUUCAUGUUGAUAGUGUUUGCUAGUUCCCUAGGAUAUUAGUAACCUUUGCAUUAGUCCUCGAGGUCUGUGGUAUACCGUUCUUCCAAUACCAUGAACCAUUAUGGCAGAAGUUCUUUGAACCAAAAGAUCACAAUAAGAAUGCUCUUGAUGAGUUCUUCAUUCUACAUUGUGAAUCUGCCAGUCCUACCUUCCCCGCAUGGGUUAUCCGGAAGAAAAAUGUUGAGCUUUGCUCGACAUACUAAUCUGUGCAUCCACAACUCAGAAAAUCGUAUGUCCUUUUGGGUUGUCCCUCUUUAGUUGUAUUCUGACCCCCGUCUAUCAUUUGAUAGUCAAGAUUAUGCAUGCGAUCGUUCAUCGAUACCUAUUACUCUUGUGGUCCGUCAAGCCAUUCUAUUCUGGAAUGACUAGGAGAAACAAACUCCAGAACCUGAUCCAUAUCUAGGAUUGGGUCAAAGCAGUUGUAUUCCACAGAUCAAAAUGCCAAUCCAGCUUUUGUUCUGUUCUACCUUGGAGUAUUAUUAUCUUUAUAUUAAGAAUAUCGUGAGAAUUGCACUACCUCUUAUGAAUUCUUGACGCAGUAAUACUUCUUGCCAUCAUUGUUCACUCCUCGGUUUUUCGUGUUAUUGUAACCGGAAUGCCGACAAGUGAAUCGUGGUGUGUGAAAUCAAUACUGCUAGCAACUCCGUCGCUUGGUAGUUAAAUGGACGAUAACCUCAUUCUUAGUGUGUUGAUUAUUGAAUCGUCACCCGAAGACUGAUUGUGCUACCUAGUCUCUAUUUCUGGUGCACUCUUCGAUCAAUGAGUUAGGAUUUUGUCAAACCCUUGCUCUAUUGAUCAUAUCGUCUUGCCCUGAAAAGCAAGAUUGUUCUCGAGCUUAGUAACAUAUCGGUGGUUCGUGAAUUUCCGAAUAUCUUCUCGGAGGUAUCACCAGGUUGUCACCUGACCGCUAUGUUGAGUUCGUGAUCAAGUUGGUUUCAUAUAAACCACCCCUUCUCCAAGAAUCUGUGUUGCAUACCCCUGAGCUGGUUGGUUAAGCUAAACAACAACUUGGAGAGUUGGAAGAUAAAAGCUUGUCCGACUUAGCUCAUGUUAAGGGAUAUCUUGUAUAUGUGUUGAAGAAAGAUGAUAUCCCCAUCGAUUGGUCCUCGUGAUCAGUUGUUGGAUCUAUUGCGUUGUCAAAACUUUGACUUGAGUAUGGGCUAUUGUCAAGUCAUAUCAGACCCAAUGAUGUGUGUAAUGUUGUCUUACCCGUGGUUGAACCCUCGGCCAUACACCAUUAUAUCCUUUGGUCUGACCAAUGCUAUCACUGUGUUCACCUAAUUAUGGAAUUCCAUUUAUAUGUGAACCAGGAUGAACUGUUGUUGAGCCCAUCAACAACAUCCUUAUCUUCUCCAUAAUCUUGUUGAACAUCAAGCUAGUACUGGGAACAUUUUAAAACAUUUGUUCAUGCUAGCUCAUGAAGCAUAUGUUCGGAUGUAAGAAGUGACUUCCUCUAGUUCAUGUGCAUUUGAUGCAAGUUGCCGCCGUGGAUUCGAGAAAGACAAUGUUGCUUCCUUUGGAAUCAUCCCAAAUCAUUCAUGCAUACGUGCGAAGUAUUCUGUGGUUCGAAGACUUGCAACCUUCAUUCUAUAUGUAUUCCUAGCACACCAAGCCACUGAUUGAUUUGUUCAAGGAGAAUAAGUUCCUUCUUAAGAGUAUACCUUAUGCAAGGACUUUGAUAUCCUCGAUGAUGGUUCCCCUCCUGAACUCGGUAGUGUUUUAUUAUAAGACUACUACUUGGUCAUGCUUGCAUGAGGCAGCGUGUCCACAUGUUUGUAGCAGAAGCAGCUCGUGUUUUGGAGCUUACUACCAUAGUUCAUUCCCCGAGAAUCUCGCAAUGUUAUCUCGUCGAUUUGUGUUGCAAACUUUCAUUUUUCUCUCUAGACUCGACGAGUCUGGAUUAUUCUGACACCAGCCAGAUCUGAAUCUCAGGCAGAUAUGAUGGUUGGAACUUUUCUAGGAUCUAUGAUGUAGGUCCCGACAGGGUUGAUGUUCUGGCCGACGCACCUAGUCGGAGGAUCUAUCACUAUAGUAUAUUGAUUGGGCAAUUUGUCCAUUUUCUCCAUGAGGAUUUCGUAGUAUUUACUCCAUAGUUAUUCCUUAUGGAUUCUUGUGCUCCCGAAGUAUGACCUUUACUUGAUGUUCUAGAUAUCAAACCAUAUCUAUGAAUGGGUUAUGCUAGCGCAUCAAAGAGAACAUUAGAAGCGGAGUGCUAAAUGUCUCUCGGUCGAUCAUCCAGAUUUUCUUUCCUUGGCCUCGCCAAGGUGAAAUCUGAGAAAGUGUUAUCUUUCCUUUGCAUCUGCACCCUCCACCGGUAUUCAUCAUUGUAGUACGUUGUGUUGCCAGGAUCCUUGACACGGAUAUUGGUAAAACCUUGAUGAAUAUGGAAAUGCUCAAGUUCUUGAGAGCACGCGCAAGCAAAAUCAUCCCUUGUGUUGUUUUCAACAAGGUAAUCCACAUCAUCCAUUCUAAUACGGGUAUGCCAUUCUACCAAACCCCUCCAAACGAUCGCUCGAGAAUUGCCUUAGGCUGGUAUAAAGAGUUUCGAUGAUCUCUGAAUCAAAGGUAAUUCUUUUUGCCACUUAAGGGAUAUUCUACGAGUCACCUUCCCUGAAGUGUCUCAAUAUGGUAUCAUGGCAACUCAAAUCUUCGCUACGUUGACAAUCGUCCACCACCCUCUUAGGUAUGGAAUUGUUGUCUACCUAGUGAACCUUCAACAUCUGUUCCACUCCAUCCUUUUGGAUGAAUGCUUCGUAUCUCAGCUCGAGAGAUGUUCUUACCUCUCACUCCAUGAGUUGAUCUUGAAUACUCGAUCUUCGAGGAGAUCGUUUUCUGGAGAGUCUCCUUCUGUCGUCAUCGUGUUGGAUGAAGACCUCGCAAGCAAAGACGUCAAGAUCGAUUGAGUCAACAGAUCAACACCCUCGAGAAGACAGCUGGAUCAUGAAGUUUGUGAUACUUAGUGUCCCCUUUGUCUUCUUACCUCGCGUCUUGAAUCUCGGGACGAGAUUCUUGUUUAGUGGGGGUGAGCUGUCACAUCCCUAGUUCUGACAAUGCCUAGGGCAUGCAUUAGAGUGUUGCAUCAUGUUUAAAUUUUAUGAAACUUGAAAUGGGGAUUGCCUAAACCCUAGCAUCAAAGGAAUUCACUAGGUUCAACUAAAAUAUUUUCAGUGAAUUCCAAAUGGCUUUAAAAAAUGUUCAUCAUUUCUGGAAAAAUGCUAGAACCAUAACCAGAGGUGUUGCACAUUUUUCCAUGACAUAUUUGGUCACUGAAUUAAAUCAUAUGUACUUUGCAUUUGGGCAUUUAAAUGCUAGUAAAUAUUUUAAAUGUCCAAAUAGUCCUAAACUGAAAUGUUCCAUGUUGGAUAUAUUCUAUACAGUGGGCAUGUGCAGUUUGGUGAUUUUUGAAAGUGCUUAGCUAUUUUUAAUAAAGCCCUAAAGUUGCAGAAGAAUUAGAAAACAGAAAUAAAAGAGAGAAGCAGAAACU